AACGAACGCUGGCGGCAGGCCUAACACAUGCAAGUCGAACGGGCGUAGCAAUACGUCAGUGGCAGACGGGUGAAUAACACGUGGGAACCUUCCUCGUAGUGCGGAACAACUCAGGGAAACUUGAGCUAAUACCGCAUACGCCCCGGAGCAAUCCGGGGGAAAGAUUUAUCGCUAUGAGACGGGCCCGCGUCCGAUUAGCUAGUUGGUGGGGUAACGGCCUACCAAGGCGACGAUCGGUAGCUGAUCUGAGAGGAUGAUCAGCCACACUGGGACUGAGACACGGCCCAGACUCCUACGGGAGGCAGCAGUGGGGAAUCUUGGACAAUGGGCGAAAGCCUGAUCCAGCCAUGCCGCGUGAGUGAAGAAGGCCUUAGGGUUGUAAAGCUCUUUUGGCAGGGACGAUAAUGACGGUACCUGCAGAAUAAGCCCCGGCAAACUUCGUGCCAGCCGCCACAGUAA
This 459-nucleotide ribosomal RNA is filed under the name uncultured bacterium. RNAcentral describes it as "partial 16S ribosomal RNA". It matches the Rfam family "Bacterial small subunit ribosomal RNA", at positions 29 to 523 of the family's 1533-position model. The record is from RNAcentral.